This 468-nucleotide ribosomal RNA is filed under the name uncultured bacterium. Its description in RNAcentral is "partial 16S ribosomal RNA". It matches the Rfam family "Bacterial small subunit ribosomal RNA", at positions 28 to 507 of the family's 1533-position model. The record is from RNAcentral.
GACGAACGCUGGCGGCGUGCUUAACACAUGCAAGUCGAACGGAAAGGCCCUGCUUUUGUGGGGUGCUCGAGUGGCGAACGGGUGAGUAACACGUGAGUAACCUACCCUUGACUUUGGGAUAACUUCAGGAAACUGGGGCUAAUACCGGAUAGGAGCUCCUGCUGCAUGGUGGGGGUUGGAAAGUUUCGGCGGUUGGGGAUGGACUCGCGGCUUAUCAGCUUGUUGGUGGGGUAGUGGCUUACCAAGGCUUUGACGGGUAGCCGGCCUGAGAGGGUGACCGGCCACAUUGGGACUGAGAUACGGCCCAGACUCCUACGGGAGGCAGCAGUGGGGAAUAUUGCACAAUGGGCGGAAGCCUGAUGCAGCAACGCCGCGUGCGGGAUGACGGCCUUCGGGUUGUAAACCGUUUUCGCCUGUGACGAAGCGUGAGUGACGGUAAUGGGUAAAGAAGCACCGGCUAACUACGUG